This is a non-coding RNA of Gossypium raimondii (Peruvian cotton), 146 nucleotides long. NCBI's taxonomy places the organism in Eukaryota, Viridiplantae, Streptophyta, Magnoliopsida, Malvales, Malvaceae. The record is from Rfam.
UGUUAAAAAUUUCAUUCAUCUGUACUUUUAAAAACUGACAUGAUUGACAGAAUAACCAUACAAUAACAUGUGGUGUGCCACAUUUACCUCAUGUUGACGUACAAAAACCACAUUUUUUACAAUAGAAACGGAUGAAAUUUUUAACA